UGGGGAAUAUUGGACAAUGGGCGCAAGCCUGAUCCAGCAAUGCCGCGUGUGUGAAGAAGGCCUGCGGGUUGUAAAGCACUUUAAGCAGGAAAGAAGGGGUGGGAGUUAAUACCUUUCAUCAUUGACGUUACCUGCAGAAUAAGCACCGGCUAACUCCGUGCCAGCAGCCGCGGUAAUACGGAGGGUGCGAGCGUUAAUCGGAAUUACUGGGCGUAAAGCGCGCGUAGGCGGUUUGAUCAGUCCGUCGUGAAAGCCCCGGGCUUAACCUGGGAACUGCGGUGGAUACUGUCGGGCUAGAGUGUGGUAGAGGGGAGUGGAAUUUCCGGUGUAGCAGUGAAAUGCGUAGAGAUCGGAAGGAACACCAGUGGCGAAGGCGGCUCCCUGGACUAACACUGACGCUGAGGUGCGAAAGCGUGGGGAGCAAACA
This 427-nucleotide ribosomal RNA is filed under the name uncultured Methylococcus sp. Its description in RNAcentral is "partial 16S ribosomal RNA". It matches the Rfam family "Bacterial small subunit ribosomal RNA", at positions 355 to 774 of the family's 1533-position model. Lineage: Bacteria; Pseudomonadati; Pseudomonadota; Gammaproteobacteria; Methylococcales; Methylococcaceae. The record is from RNAcentral.